CCUACGGGAGGCAGCAGUGGGGAAUCUUGCGCAAUGGGCGAAAGCCUGACGCAGCCAUGCCGCGUGUAUGAUGAAGGUCUUAGGAUUGUAAAAUACUUUCACCGGUGAAGAUAAUGACUGUAGCCGGAGAAGAAGCCCCGGCUAACUUCGUGCCAGCAGCCGCGGUAAUACGAAGGGGGCUAGCGUUGCUCGGAAUUACUGGGCGUAAAGGGAGCGUAGGCGGACAUUUAAGUCAGGGGUGAAAUCCCAGAGCUCAACUCUGGAACUGCCUUUGAUACUGGGUGUCUUGAGUGUGAUAGAGGUAUGUGGAACUCCGAGUGUAGAGGUGAAAUUCGUAGAUAUUCGGAAGAACACCAGUGGCGAAGGCGACAUACUGGAUCAUUACUGACGCUGAGGCUCGAAAGCGUGGGGAGCAAACAGGAUUAGAUACCCUGGUAGUCCACGCCGUAAACGAUGAUUGCUAGUUGUCGGGAUGUUUACAUCUCGGUGACGCAGCUACGCAUAAGACAUACCGCCGUCGGGAGGUACGGUCGCGAAGAAGUUAAAACUUAAAAGUUAGAAGUAGACGGCGUGAGACGUGCCGAACGGACGACGACGAGGGAGGUUAGGG
Molecule: ribosomal RNA, 610 nt
Filed under: uncultured bacterium
Lineage: Bacteria
Description: bacterial SSU rRNA
Rfam family: Bacterial small subunit ribosomal RNA (bases 1-516)
Source: RNAcentral